RNAcentral lists this ribosomal RNA (1954 nucleotides) under Zschokkella sp. 4 IF-2006. Its description in RNAcentral is "SSU rRNA". It matches the Rfam family "Eukaryotic small subunit ribosomal RNA". The record is from RNAcentral. Lineage: Eukaryota; Metazoa; Cnidaria; Myxozoa; Bivalvulida; Myxidiidae.
ACCUGGUUGAUCCUGCCAGUGAUUAUAUGCUUCUCUCAAAGACUAAGCCAUGCAUGCGUAAGUUCACAUCGAUUAUUAUGAUGAAACUGCGGAGCGCUCAGUAAAUCAGUUAUUGCCCAUUCGAUAGUGUCCAACUAUGGAUAACUCUGGCAAAUCUAUAGCUAAUACAUGAAUUAAGAACCAUCCGCGUCCAGUACGCGGUGGGGGCAUUUAUUAGUGAAAAAUCAACCGAGGUGCGAGCCUUGUAGUUGAAACUGAAUAACUGUGCUUAUCGAUCCCUCGCGGGCGAUAUUUCGAUCGGGUUUCUGCCCUAUCAACUUGUUGCUAGGGUAUUUACCUAGCAAGGUUUUGACGGGUAACGGGGAAUCAGGGUUCGAUUCCGGAGAGGGAGCCUGAGAAACGGCUACCACAUCCAAGGAGGGCAGCAGGCGCGCAAAUUACCCAAUCCGAAUAUCGGGAGGUAGUAACGAGAAAUACCAAGGUGAGCCAACGGUUCGCCAUUGGAAUGAGAUUAAUCUAUAACCUUUUUCGAGUAACAACUGGAGGGCAAGUCUGGUGCCAGCAGCCGCGGUAAUUCCAGCUCCAGUAGUGUAUAUCAAUAUUGUUGCAGUUAAAACGCUCGUAGUUGGAUGACAGGGGUCUGUUUCCAUGAGAACAAUAUGUUCGGCAUGGAGAGGGGCCCUUUUAUUGCAUGAACCAGUGGUUGGCUUGAUUGCUAGUUGCUGGUCUCCUGCAAAGCGUGCCUUGAAUAAAGCAUAGUGCUCAAAGCAAGUGUUACGCUAGAAUGUUUCAGCAUGGAACGAACAACCAGAUUUCUGGUUCAGUUGGUUGAUUUUGAUUCUGGUCCGAUUGGCUGGCUGCUGGUUGGCUGGCUGAUCGAUGCCGGUUUCACUGAACUGGGUCAUGAUUAAAAGGGACAUUUGAGGGCGUUGGUACUCUGUGGCGAGAGGUGAAAUUCUUUGACCCACAGAAGACUCACAAAUGCGAAAGCAUCCGCCAAGAAUGUUUUCAUUAAUCAAGAACGAAAGUUGGAGGAUCGAAGACGAUCAGAUACCGUCGUAGUUCCAUACAGUAAACUAUGCCGACUCGGGUUCAGCCCGUAAAAUUUGCAGGUUGGGGCCCCUGGGAAACCUAAAGUUUUCGGGUUCUGGGGGAAGUACGGUCGCAAGUCUGAAACUUAAAGGCAUUGACGGAAAAACACCACCAGGAGUGGGGUGUGCGGCUUAAUUUGACUCAACACGGGGAAACUUACCAGAUCCGGACAUUAAAAGGAAUGACAGGCUGAUAGACCUUUCAUGAUAUAAUGUAUGGUGGUGCAUGGCCGUUCUUAGUUCGUGGAGCGAUUUGUCUGGUUUAUUCCGAUAACGAGCGAGACCACAAUCCCUAUUUUAUUGCUCAUUCAACAAGAUUGGUUGAUAUCGAGUGGUUGAUCUCUGACCGGAGAUGGUAAUGUCAGUUGGUUCGGUGGGUGCUUCUGUGCUUGCUGGGCCGGUCUGAUUGCUCUGUUUUUGGGUUUGAUUUUGGCUGUUGGUAUCAGCUAUCUGAAUGAGAUAUUAGGGAGACCACCGUGCGAUAAAAAAGCCGGAGGAAGUGUGGCAAUAACAGGUCUGUGAUGCCCUUCGAUGUCCUGGGCUGCACGCGCACCACAAUGGUAGUGACAGCGAGUUACUGUUCCGAGAGGAAUGGUUAAACAGAAAUCACUGUCGUAAUUUGAACUGAGCCUUGUAAUAAUUGCUCACGAAAGAGGAAUUCCUUGUAAGUACGAGUCACCAGCUCGUGCUGAAUACGUCUCUGUUUUUUGUACACACCGCCCGUCGCUACUACUGAUUGAAUAGGAUUUCGAAAGGUAGGGAUUCACGUGGGAUCUGAUCCCUAGUGGGAGAACUACCUUAAGGAGUUUGUUCGAAAAGAAGUAAAAGUCGUAACAAGGCUUCCGUAGGUGAACCAGCGGAAG